UGGAAGUAAAAGUCGUAACAAGGUUUCCGUAGGUGAACCUGCGGAAGGAUCAUUACCGAGUGAGGGCCCUCUGGGUCCAACCUCCCACCCGUGUUUAUUUUACCUUGUUGCUUCGGCGGGCCCGCCUUAACUGGCCGCCGGGGGGCUUACGCCCCCGGGCCCGCGCCCGCCGAAGACACCCUCGAACUCUGUCUGAAGAUUGUAGUCUGAGUGAAAAUAUAAAUUAUUUAAAACUUUCAACAACGGAUCUCUUGGUUCCGGCAUCGAUGAAGAACGCAGCGAAAUGCGAUACGUAAUGUGAAUUGCAAAUUCAGUGAAUCAUCGAGUCUUUGAACGCACAUUGCGCCCCCUGGUAUUCCGGGGGGCAUGCCUGUCCGAGCGUCAUUUCUGCCCUCAAGCACGGCUUGUGUGUUGGGCCCCGUCCUCCGAUCCCGGGGGACGGGCCCGAAAGGCAGCGGCGGCACCGCGUCCGGUCCUCGAGCGUAUGGGGCUUUGUCACCCGCUCUGUAGGCCCGGCCGGCGCUUGCCGAUCAACCCAAAUUUUUAUCCAGGUUGACCUCGGAUCAGGUAGGGAUACCCGCUGAACUUAAGCAUAUCAAUAAGCGGAGGAA
RNAcentral lists this non-coding RNA (611 nucleotides) under Penicillium chrysogenum. Its description in RNAcentral is "eukaryotic LSU rRNA". The stretch from base 232 to 384 matches the Rfam family "5.8S ribosomal RNA". The record is from RNAcentral. RNAcentral also lists the same sequence under 1 other name. Lineage: Eukaryota; Fungi; Ascomycota; Eurotiomycetes; Eurotiales; Aspergillaceae.